This 75-nucleotide transfer RNA is filed under the name Bacilli bacterium. Its description in RNAcentral is "tRNA-Met". It matches the Rfam family "tRNA". From Rfam's summary of the family: Transfer RNA (tRNA) molecules are approximately 80 nucleotides in length. The record is from RNAcentral. Lineage: Bacteria; Bacillati; Bacillota; Bacilli. RNAcentral also lists the same sequence under 1 other name.
CGCGGGGUAGAGCAGUGGUAGCUCGUCGGGCUCAUAACCCGGAGGUCGUUGGUUCAAAUCCUUCCCCCGCUACCA